RNAcentral lists this ribosomal RNA (440 nucleotides) under uncultured bacterium. Its description in RNAcentral is "partial 16S ribosomal RNA". It matches the Rfam family "Bacterial small subunit ribosomal RNA", at positions 338 to 795 of the family's 1533-position model. The record is from RNAcentral.
CCUACGGGUGGCAGCAGUAGGGAAUAUUGCUCAAUGGGGGAAACCCUGAAGCAGCAACGCCGCGUGGAGGAUGAAGGUUUUAGGAUUGUAAACUCCUUUUGUGAGAGAAGAUAAUGACGGUAUCUCAUGAAUAAGCACUGGCUAACUCCGUGCCAGCAGCCGCGGUAGUACGGGGGGUGCAAGCGUUAAUCGGAAUCACUGGGCGUAAAGAGUGCGCAGGCGGGCUUGUAAGUCAGAUGUGAAGUCCUGUAGCUUAACUACAGAACUGCAUUUGAAACUAUGAGUCUAGAGUGUGGGAGAGGUAAGUGGAAUUCUUGGUGUAGGAGUAAAAUCCGUAGAUAUCAAGAGGAAUACUCGUGGCGAAGGCGACCUACUGGAACAUUACUGACGCUCAUGAGCGAAAGCGUGGGGAGCAAACAGGAUUAGAUACCCUUGUAGUC